Molecule: long non-coding RNA, 401 nt
Organism: Colius striatus (speckled mousebird)
Lineage: Eukaryota; Metazoa; Chordata; Aves; Coliiformes; Coliidae
Exons: 3
Source: RefSeq, a predicted model, not a curated record
CAAAGGCAAAGUCAGUCGUUCUGUUAACAGAAAACGAGUGUGAUGCACUUGGGAUCCUCCGCUAUUUGCAGCAGGCAGAAGCUGAAGUUCCCCCAGAACUGCCUGGUUUGACUGCCAAGGUGCUAAAAGAUGAAGAAUACCAGAAAUUGUCAAGGCCACUGUGUACCCAUCUUAAAACAUUUGGGGCUUGCAGAAACAGAACAGUGUGUCUGGAUCGUCGUCAAGUUAAUUUACAAAGAGACGUGCCCCAGCAUAUCCCAGAUACAGUGACACAAACACCUGGAUAUCUGAUGAUUCUGCCUCUCCACGUUGUAAAUGCAACAAACUGCUUUGGUCGAAGAGUAGAUCAGCAGAAGGACCAAUAUACAAUUCUUGCUGAAGGAAUUAAUGGGUAUUUUAAG